This 392-nucleotide unclassified non-coding RNA is filed under the name soil metagenome. RNAcentral's name for it is "partial contains 5.8S ribosomal RNA, internal transcribed spacer 2, and large subunit ribosomal RNA". The stretch from base 1 to 122 matches the Rfam family "5.8S ribosomal RNA", at positions 35 to 154 of the family's 154-position model. The record is from RNAcentral.
GAUGAAGAACGCAGCGAAAUGCGAUACUUGGUGUGAAUUGCAGAAUCCCGUGAACCAUCGAGUCUUUGAACGCAAGUUGCGCCCGAAGCCACUAGGCCGAGGGCACGCCUGCCUGGGCGUCACACGUCGUUGCCCCCCACCAUCUACUCCUUCGGGAUUGCGGGGGGCGGAUGAUGGCCUCCCGUGCGCCUAGCCGCGCGGUUGGCAUAAAUACCAAGUCCUCGGCGACGCACGCCACGACAAUCGGUGGUUGCGAAACCUCGGUUGCCCGUCGUGUGCGUUCGUCGCGCAUCGAGGGCUCGAAAAAAUGCUCGGCUCCGGCUCGGCUUUCAACGCGACCCCAGGUCAGGCGGGGUUACCCACUGAAUUUAAGCAUAUCAAUAAGCGGAGGA